UUUCCGUUGGUGAACCAGCGGAAGGAUCAUUACAGAGAUCAUGCCCUCUAAGGGUAGACCUCCCACCCUGUGUUAAUACUCUUGUUGCUUUGGCAGGCCGCCUUCGGGCUCUCGGCUCCGGCUGAGGUGCGCCUGCCAGAGGACCCCAACUCUUUUGUUUAUGUGUCGUCUGAGUACUAUAUAAUAAGUUAAAACUUUCAACAACGGAUCUCUUGGUUCUGGCAUCGAUGAAGAACGCAGC
RNAcentral lists this unclassified non-coding RNA (241 nucleotides) under uncultured fungus. RNAcentral describes it as "sequence contains ITS1, 5.8S rRNA gene". The stretch from base 193 to 241 matches the Rfam family "5.8S ribosomal RNA", at positions 1 to 49 of the family's 154-position model. Lineage: Eukaryota; Fungi. The record is from RNAcentral.